CGCCCGCCGCGCGCGGCGGGCGGGGCGGGGGCACGGGGGGCCUACGGGAGGCAGCAGUGGGGAAUCUUGGACAAUGGGGGAAACCCUGAUCCAGCAAUGCCGCGUGGGUGAAGAAGGCCUUCGGGUUGUAAAGCCCUUUCGGCGGGGAAGGAAUCGGCCGGGCGAACAGUCCGGCCGGAUGACGGUACCCGCAGAAGAAGCACCGGCUA
RNAcentral lists this ribosomal RNA (209 nucleotides) under uncultured bacterium. RNAcentral's name for it is "partial 16S ribosomal RNA". It matches the Rfam family "Bacterial small subunit ribosomal RNA", at positions 284 to 499 of the family's 1533-position model. The record is from RNAcentral.